ACCUCUUCUGGACUGAGCCGCAAGCCGAGCGUGAGUGCGCAGAACCUUCCGUGCAGUCAUAAGAGAUUCACAAGCGGGCUCCAACAGGAGGAAAGAAGGCACAUUGGAUAGACCUUGGAUCAAAGACUGUCCAAAGAAGAAAAUAAAAGAGGAAGACUUUUGCACUUAUGUUGGCGAUCGAUGGUGGGGGACCCAGUUCAUCCGACCUCUGGCUGACUUCCAGCGGCCCCAGAAACAGAGCAACGAGUUAAUGUCAGCAUCUCUGAAGUAUAAUUGAUAGAUCCCUUUGUAUUGGAAAGAUGUCCUCCCAUCUAACUAUCCAAGACCAGUCCAAGUUGAUGUUUAUAAUUUAUAUUGACAGAAAUAGCACUGUAUCUGGAUCUUUCAGUGCUGCUGUUGUUGUUGUUCUUUUGUUUUGUUGUUGUUUGUUUUGUUGUCAUGAAAACAAAAGAUGAGGGAUAACAAAGUUAACAACAACCAUUAACAAGAACCAUGAUUAAUGCAGAUGGGAAUAUUAAUUGCUCAGUGACUGUUUUUGUCAAUGUCUUUAUGUCUCAAAGUGUUCUGUCAAUUGACUGUCUGUUGUCGUACUAGAGCGGCUCCAACUACCGGAGACAAAUUCCUUGUGUGUUUUUUGGACAUACUUGGCAAAUAAAGAUGAUUCUGAUUCUGA
Phyllopteryx taeniolatus (common seadragon) is the source of this 673-nucleotide long non-coding RNA. RefSeq lists it as uncharacterized. The transcript is spliced from 2 exons. NCBI's taxonomy places the organism in Eukaryota, Metazoa, Chordata, Actinopteri, Syngnathiformes, Syngnathidae. The record is from RefSeq and is a predicted model, not a curated record.